UGGGGAAUCUUGGACAAUGGGCGCAAGCCUGACCCAGCAACGCCGCGUGAAGGAUGAAGUAUUUCGGUAUGUAAACUUCGAAAGAAUAGGAAGAAUAAAUGACGGUACUAUUUAUAAGGUCCGGCUAACUACGUGCCAGCAGCCGCGGUAAUACGUAGGGACCAAGCGUUGUUCGGAUUUACUGGGCGUAAAGGGCGCGUAGGCGGCAAUUCAAGUCAUCUGUGAAAUCUCCGGGCUUAACUCGGAACGGUCAGAUGAUACUGCUUUGCUAGAGUGCAGAAGGGGCAAUCGGAAUUCUUGGUGUAGCGGUGAAAUGCGUAGAUAUCAAGAGGAACACCUGAGGUGAAGACGGGUUGCUGGGCUGACACUGACGCUGAGGCGCGAAAGCCAGGGGAGCAAACGGGAUUAGAUACCCAUGUAGUCCCUGAGCGGGCUGGCAAGGCGCAU
This 447-nucleotide ribosomal RNA is filed under the name uncultured bacterium. Its description in RNAcentral is "bacterial SSU rRNA". It matches the Rfam family "Bacterial small subunit ribosomal RNA", at positions 355 to 825 of the family's 1533-position model. The record is from RNAcentral.